RNAcentral lists this ribosomal RNA (253 nucleotides) under uncultured bacterium. Its description in RNAcentral is "partial 16S ribosomal RNA". It matches the Rfam family "Bacterial small subunit ribosomal RNA", at positions 524 to 776 of the family's 1533-position model. The record is from RNAcentral.
UACGGAGGGUGCGAGCGUUAUCCGGAAUUACUGGGCUUAAAGGGUGCGUAGGCGGCUUUGUAAGUCAGGAGUGAAAGUUUGCGGCUCAACCGUAAAAUUGCUUUUGAUACUGCAAGGCUAGAAUCAGGAUGAGGUUAGCGGAAUGUGGCAUGUAGCGGUGAAAUGCAUAGAUAUGCCAUAGAACACCAAUUGCGAAGGCAGCUGGCUAGACCUGUAUUGACGCUGAGGCACGAAAGCGUGGGGAGCGAACAGG